Molecule: long non-coding RNA, 796 nt
Organism: Hyalella azteca
Lineage: Eukaryota; Metazoa; Arthropoda; Malacostraca; Amphipoda; Hyalellidae
Exons: 3
Source: RefSeq, a predicted model, not a curated record
CAUGUUCUUCCUGCUAGUCUGGAACCACUGGGAUUGGGAACGGAUGGAGGGAUUCGGAUUAUCGCAGCGUCAGUAAAGUCCUGACGCUUGGCAAGUGUGGUUGUGUCUCGCUGUGAGUGCUCGCCGGAUGACUUGGUUCGCUGCUCGUGUACAUUUGGACUGGUUCAAAUAUUAUUUUACGAAAUGGAUCUAAGUUUUAAAUAUGCUCUGGUAAUACGUAUUUAAAAACCUGUGGAAUUUGAACCAGCUUGUUCGUGACCUGUGUCUGCAAGUUACCAAGCCUGUCCUGAUUGCUAGGUCACUGAUAGUUACCGGGUGCCGAAUAAGCUGAAGGAUUGUACGCCUCAUUUGCUGGUCAUCCUGAUAGACCUUCCGCACGACAUCUGCCACAGCCGCGUCUGGGUCUACGUUGUCUGCUCCACUUCGACUGAAAUUUUGUCACGCCGAGUGUUCCACUAAGCGAAAUUUUUCCCUUCGGUUUGAAAUCGUUGAUGAGCCAGAGCAAAUUUCCUGGCCCAGGAUUCAGCAAUUCUAGUGUUGUGUUACCUGUUGACUAUUGGUGGUGUUUCUUCAAGUUCUCAAGAAAUUUGUCGAACUCAUUCGGUUGCAUUAACAACUGUUUCUACGAAAAAACUUUACUUCCUGUUGUCGUUCAUUUAACAAAUUCCAAUUUUAGUCAGCAGCAUUAAUGCCCUUAGCAAUGGCCUGAAAUUCUUGCCAUCAAAGUUGAAAUUCAUUGCGUGUGUUAAAAUGCAAAUUAUUUAAUUUUUGGUGGGCCGUAUUUAUUAUUUCAGUC